AGCGUACACGGUGGAUGCCCUGGCAGUCAGAGGCGAUGAAGGACGUGCUAAUCUGCGAUAAGCGUCGGUAAGGUGAUAUGAACCGUUAUAACCGGCGAUUUCCGAAUGGGGAAACCCAGUGUGUUUCGACACACUAUCAUUAACUGAAUCCAUAGGUUAAUGAGGCGAACCGGGGGAACUGAAACAUCUAAGUACCCCGAGGAAAAGAAAUCAACCGAGAUUCCCCCAGUAGCGGCGAGCGAACGGGGAGCAGCCCAGAGUCUGAAUCAGUGUGUGUGUUAGUGGAAGCGUCUGGAAAGGCGCGCGAUACAGGGUGACAGCCCCGUACACAAAAAUGCACAUGCUGUGAGCUCGAUGAGUAGGGCGGGACACGUGGUAUCCUGUCUGAAUAUGGGGGGACCAUCCUCCAAGGCUAAAUACUCCUGACUGACCGAUAGUGAACCAGUACCGUGAGGGAAAGGCGAAAAGAACCCCGGCGAGGGGAGUGAAAAAGAACCUGAAACCGUGUACGUACAAGCAGUGGGAGCCUCUUUUAUGGGGUGACUGCGUACCUUUUGUAUAAUGGGUCAGCGACUUAUAUUCUGUAGCAAGGUUAACCGAAUAGGGGAGCCGAAGGGAAACCGAGUCUUAACUGGGCGUUAAGUUGCAGGGUAUAGACCCGAAACCCGGUGAUCUAGCCAUGGGCAGGUUGAAGGUUGGGUAACACUAACUGGAGGACCGAACCGACUAAUGUUGAAAAAUUAGCGGAUGACUUGUGGCUGGGGGUGAAAGGCCAAUCAAACCGGGAGAUAGCUGGUUCUCCCCGAAAGCUAUUUAGGUAGCGCCUCGUGAAUUCAUCUCCGGGGGUAGAGCACUGUUUCGGCAAGGGGGUCAUCCCGACUUACCAACCCGAUGCAAACUGCGAAUACCGGAGAAUGUUAUCACGGGAGACACACGGCGGGUGCUAACGUCCGUCGUGAAGAGGGAAACAACCCAGACCGCCAGCUAAGGUCCCAAAGUCAUGGUUAAGUGGGAAACGAUGUGGGAAGGCCCAGACAGCCAGGAUGUUGGCUUAGAAGCAGCCAUCAUUUAAAGAAAGCGUAAUAGCUCACUGGUCGAGUCGGCCUGCGCGGAAGAUGUAACGGGGCUAAACCAUGCACCGAAGCUGCGGCAGCGACGCUUAUGCGUUGUUGGGUAGGGGAGCGUUCUGUAAGCCUGUGAAGGUGUGCUGUGAGGCAUGCUGGAGGUAUCAGAAGUGCGAAUGCUGACAUAAGUAACGAUAAAGCGGGUGAAAAGCCCGCUCGCCGGAAGACCAAGGGUUCCUGUCCAACGUUAAUCGGGGCAGGGUGAGUCGACCCCUAAGGCGAGGCCGAAAGGCGUAGUCGAUGGGAAACAGGUUAAUAUUCCUGUACUUGGUGUUACUGCGAAGGGGGGACGGAGAAGGCUAUGUUGGCCGGGCGACGGUUGUCCCGGUUUAAGCGUGUAGGCUGGUUUUCCAGGCAAAUCCGGAAAACCAAGGCUGAGGCGUGAUGACGAGGCACUACGGUGCUGAAGCGACAAAUGCCCUGCUUCCAGGAAAAGCCUCUAAGCAUCAGGUAACAUCAAAUCGUACCCCAAACCGACACAGGUGGUCAGGUAGAGAAUACCAAGGCGCUUGAGAGAACUCGGGUGAAGGAACUAGGCAAAAUGGUGCCGUAACUUCGGGAGAAGGCACGCUGAUAUGUAGGUGAAGCGACUUGCUCGUGGAGCUGAAAUCAGUCGAAGAUACCAGCUGGCUGCAACUGUUUAUUAAAAACACAGCACUGUGCAAACACGAAAGUGGACGUAUACGGUGUGACGCCUGCCCGGUGCCGGAAGGUUAAUUGAUGGGGUUAGCGGCAACGCGAAGCUCUUGAUCGAAGCCCCGGUAAACGGCGGCCGUAACUAUAACGGUCCUAAGGUAGCGAAAUUCCUUGUCGGGUAAGUUCCGACCUGCACGAAUGGCGUAAUGAUGGCCAGGCUGUCUCCACCCGAGACUCAGUGAAAUUGAACUCGCUGUGAAGAUGCAGUGUACCCGCGGCAAGACGGAAAGACCCCGUGAACCUUUACUAUAGCUUGACACUGAACAUUGAGCCUUGAUGUGUAGGAUAGGUGGGAGGCUUUGAAGUGUGGACGCCAGUCUGCAUGGAGCCGACCUUGAAAUACCACCCUUUAAUGUUUGAUGUUCUAACGUUGGCCCGUAAUCCGGGUUGCGGACAGUGUCUGGUGGGUAGUUUGACUGGGGCGGUCUCCUCCUAAAGAGUAACGGAGGAGCACGAAGGUUGGCUAAUCCUGGUCGGACAUCAGGAGGUUAGUGCAAUGGCAUAAGCCAGCUUGACUGCGAGCGUGACGGCGCGAGCAGGUGCGAAAGCAGGUCAUAGUGAUCCGGUGGUUCUGAAUGGAAGGGCCAUCGCUCAACGGAUAAAAGGUACUCCGGGGAUAACAGGCUGAUACCGCCCAAGAGUUCAUAUCGACGGCGGUGUUUGGCACCUCGAUGUCGGCUCAUC
This 2504-nucleotide ribosomal RNA is filed under the name human gut metagenome. RNAcentral describes it as "bacterial LSU rRNA". It matches the Rfam family "Bacterial large subunit ribosomal RNA", at positions 14 to 2541 of the family's 2925-position model. The record is from RNAcentral.